Molecule: ribosomal RNA, 487 nt
Filed under: Helotiales sp. SL11101
Lineage: Eukaryota; Fungi; Ascomycota; Leotiomycetes; Helotiales
Description: eukaryotic LSU rRNA
Rfam family: 5.8S ribosomal RNA (bases 133-286)
Source: RNAcentral
CCACCCUUUGUUUACAUUACCUUUGUUGCUUUGGCGGGCCCGUCUCACGACCACCGGCUUCGGCUGGUCAGUGCCCGCCAGAUGACCCCAAACUCUUUUGUUAAUGUCGUCUGAGUACUAUAUAAUAGUUAAAACUUUCAACAACGGAUCUCUUGGUUCUGGCAUCGAUGAAGAACGCAGCGAAAUGCGAUAAGUAAUGUGAAUUGCAGAAUUCAGUGAAUCAUCGAAUCUUUGAACGCACAUUGCGCCCUCUGGUAUUCCGGGGGGCAUGCCUGUUCGAGCGUCAUUACAACCCUCAAGCUCUGCUUGGUAUUGGGCGUCACCGUCUCCGGCGCGCCUUAAAAUCAGUGGCGGUGCCGUCAGGCUUCAAGCGUAGUAAUUCUUCUCGCUCUGGAGUUCUGGUGUGUGCCUGCCAACAACCCCUAAUUUUAUCAAGGUUGACCUCGGAUCAGGUAGGGAUACCCGCUGAACUUAAGCAUAUCAAUAA